Molecule: ribosomal RNA, 253 nt
Filed under: uncultured bacterium
Lineage: Bacteria
Description: partial 16S ribosomal RNA
Rfam family: Bacterial small subunit ribosomal RNA
Source: RNAcentral
UACGAAGGGGGCGAGCGUUGUUCGGAUUUACUGGGCGUAAAGGGCGCGCAGGCGGCUCAUUUUGUCAGGCGUGAAAGCCCCGGGCUUAACCUGGGAACUGCGUUUGAUACGGAUGGGCUAGAGUUCGGGAGAGGAGAGUGGAAUUCCUGGUGUAGCGGUGAAAUGCGCAGAUAUCAGGAGGAACACCGAUGGCGAAGGCAGCUCGCUGGGACGGUACUGACGCUGAGGCGCGAAAGCGUGGGGAGCAAACAGG